RNAcentral lists this transfer-messenger RNA (170 nucleotides) under Granulibacter bethesdensis CGDNIH1. RNAcentral describes it as "transfer-messenger RNA Granu_bethe_CGDNIH". It matches the Rfam family "Alphaproteobacteria transfer-messenger RNA", at positions 148 to 355 of the family's 355-position model. Rfam says of the family: Bacterial tmRNA, also known as 10Sa RNA or SsrA, is named for its dual tRNA and mRNA-like properties. RNAcentral also lists the same sequence under 1 other name. Lineage: Bacteria; Pseudomonadati; Pseudomonadota; Alphaproteobacteria; Acetobacterales; Acetobacteraceae. The record is from RNAcentral.
GGGGGCGAAACAGGCUCGACGCGCGCGGUAAAGACUCGUUUUUUGCCCGGCAUGGUUCCGCCGUUAUCGGGCCAUAUUACAGGUGCCAAUGAUAAUCAUGAGGCGCUCGCUGUCGCUGCAUAAGCGAUAAGCGCGGUUCGGGGGGCACCGGGCAACAGAAGCCCCCCACU